RNAcentral lists this small nuclear RNA (59 nucleotides) under Anas platyrhynchos platyrhynchos (common mallard). RNAcentral also lists the same sequence under 1 other name. Lineage: Eukaryota; Metazoa; Chordata; Aves; Anseriformes; Anatidae. The record is from RNAcentral.
CAUUAGCAUGGCCCCUGUGCAAGGAUGACAUGCAAAUUUGUGCAGUGUUCUGUAUUUUG